GAGUUUGAUUCUGGCUCAGGAUGAACGCUAGCGGCAGGCCUUACACAUGCAAGUCGAGGGGUAACAGGAAAAGCUUGCUUUUCGCUGACGACCGGCGCACGGGUGCGUAACGCGUAUACAAUCUGCCCUUAACUGGAGGAUAGCCCAGGGAAACUUGGAUUAAUACUCCAUAAUAUUUUCGAUUCGCCUGUUUUGAAAAUUAAAGUUCCGGCGGUUAAGGAUGAGUAUGCGUGACAUUAGCUAGUUGGUGAGGUAACGGCUCACCAAGGCAACGAUGUCUAGGGGUUCUGAGAGGAUGAUCCCCCACACUGGUACUGAGACACGGACCAGACUCCUACGGGAGGCAGCAGUGAGGAAUAUUGGUCAAUGGACGCAAGUCUGAACCAGCCAUGCCGCGUGCAGGAUGACGGCCCUACGGGUUGUAAACUGCUUUUAUAUAGGAAGAAACUUACCCACGUGUGGGUAACUGACGGUACUAUACAAUAAGGAUCGGCUAACUCCCGUGCCAGCAGCCGCCGGUAAUACGGAGGAUCCCAGCGUUAUCCGGAUUUAUUUGGGGUUAAAGGGUCCCUUAGGCGGGAAUUUAAGUCAGGGGUGAAGCCCUACAGCUUU
This 612-nucleotide ribosomal RNA is filed under the name uncultured bacterium. RNAcentral's name for it is "bacterial SSU rRNA". It matches the Rfam family "Bacterial small subunit ribosomal RNA", at positions 9 to 611 of the family's 1533-position model. The record is from RNAcentral.